AGCUGCACCCAUGGCAUAUGGAAGUUCCCAGGCUAUGGGUCAAAUCGGUGCUGCAGCUGCCGGCCUGCACCACAGCCACAACAACAUGGGAUUCAAGCCGUAUCUGUGACCUACACCAUAGCUCACAGCAACGCCGGAUCCUUAACCCACUGAGCGAGGCCAGGGAUGGAACCCUCGUCCUCAUGGAUCCUAGUGGAGUUCCUUAACUGCUAAGCCAGGAAGGCAACUCCCAGUUUCUGCAUUUUAAAGCUAAGCUGAGGCCUGGGGAGGUUGCCCAUAGUCAGGCAGCUAGACAUGGGCAGGUCAGUGAUUUGAACCCAGGCACCCUGGCUCCAGAAUCUAUCUUCUGAUCAACACUAUGCUUCCUCUCUUUUUAAUAAAAAGCAAAUCCACCAUCACUCUGCUGCUUGACAACCUCGGAUAGAUAGCGUGUCCCUGCAGUUAGAAGACAAUUCUAGGAUUUGCCUCUGUGGCACAACAGGAUAGAUUGUGUCCCUGCAGUGGCAGGAAUUCAAGUUCGAUCCCCAGCCCAGUGGGUUAAGGAUCCAGUGUUGCUGCAGCUGUGGGUGUGACUGAGGCCGACGUCACAACCGCAGCUCAGAUUCAAUCCCUGGCCCUGGAACUCCAUAUGCUGCCGGGUGGCCAAAAAAGAAAAGAAAAAGAUUUUAAAAAGAGACAGUUCUAACUCUUUUGAUGGGUUUUAAUGGCCUCUGUGAAUUGGUCGCUGCUUCUGUCGACCCCCAGCCACACGACCCCCCUCUCUGAUAGGCCUCUUCCUCAGUUCCCCUCGUGGCUGCCUCUGUCACACCCUUCAGAUCUCUAUGUAGUGUCCCUUCCUCGAAGGGCCUCCCCUGACCACCUGUCAAUGAGCUCUCCUCUGAACUUCUCCCUCAUAACAUUCCAUUCGUCUUUAUUAUUAUUAUUAUUAUUUUGUAUUUUCUAGGGCCGCUCAUGCAGCAUAUGGAGGUUCCCAGGCUAGGGGUCAAAUCAGAGCUGUAGCCACCGGCUUACACCAGAGCCGCAGCAACAUGGGAUCCGAGCUGUGUCUGCAACCUACACCACAGCUCACUGCAAUGCGGGAUCCUUAACCCAAUCAGGGAGGCCGGGGAUCGAACCUGAAACCUCAUUGUUCCUAGUCAGAUUCGUUAACCACUGCUCCACGACGGGAACUCCCAUUCAUCUUUUUGUAUUACCUUUAAUGCAACCAGCACUUAUGUUAGUUGAUUAUUUGCUUAUGGUUUCUCUACCUCCUCUGUGGGGUAUAAUAAGCUCCGUGGGGUCCCUCCGGCUCUCCGCCCAGCGCAGGGCUCGGUUAGCUUGAGUCCUCAGAGACACUCAUGGGCAUAAUAAAGGCAGUGCUGGAAGGUGAGCAGGAACUUUGUUCUAGAAUCAGACAGGCCAGGGUUUGACUGAAUCCUCUGAUUUUAGGAGAGUCGUGAACCCUUAUCUGUAACGGGGACGCAGUCAGAGAGCUGUCGCGAGGUUUAAACGAGGUAACCUAGCCACCCGGCACCUGGUAAACCCCCAAGGCCUCAGAGCUGUCACUGUCCCCUUCAUCCUUGUCAUCCUUCUCAGGCAGCAUCACUGGGCACCAGCCAGCCUGUGGGCUGGACCACCCUUGGCCGGGGUCCUAUCCCUGUUCUAACCCGCUCAGGCUGGCAGCGAGGGGCAGCCUGGGAAGACCCAGCUGAGCCUGUGGGUGGGACAGGUACAUGUGGUUGUCAAGUCCAAGUCCACACUCCUCCCACCCACCUCUUCCCCUUCUCCCGGGCCUUUUGGAGCCUUGCCUCCAGGCCCGUCCCUUUCUCGGAGCUGCUCUUCGCACCAGCUGAAUUCAGUCAGUCCUUUCUUCGCCCAGCUUCCUUUCUGCCACUGGACAGCAUCUCGGGCAGUGUAAAGGCUCCUGGCCCCGCAGUGAAGAGGCCGUGCUUAGCAGAGACAGGUAUUUGAUGUUGCGUUGAGAUAGGUUAACCAGACUUCGAAGGAAACACACCGUGGCUUAAUCAUAGCACAGAGCUGAUAACCUCUUGUUUUCUCCUCUUCCUGGGUCACAGGAAGCCCAGAAGGCUCCACCCUUCCCAGCCGUUGCCGGCAGAAACCACCGAAGGGGAUAAGCACCAGAAACCACUGAAGGGGAUAAGCACGUAGAAUGUGUGAAAGAGACAGAUGGAGGAGAAAACACGAGCAGGGCUUAAAAUCUCUUCAUCAGCGGAAAAGCAUGGGAAAUUGGCAAAUCGGAGAGGAAGGGUAGGCAGCCUUGGUCGCUUUAUGUUUAUUCAAAGUGAGAGGGCAGAAGCGAAUGCUUCUCUAGGGAGGGGCUGGAGAUGUGUUCCUGGAAAAGUACCGAAUUAUCCAGGCUUCGGGCUGCCAACUCCUAAGCGCCUUCCUGCCUCCAGCCCUCCUCCACUAACUUGUAGUUAUCUGAGCAGUUUGGUGCUGUUCUCUCUUCCAGGAAUGGCUUUUUUUAAUUCCCUGUUCCCUUAGUGGCCUCAAGAACUCCUGCCCCUUGUAACGGUGUCAUCACUAACUUCAGUCCCUAGGUCUGUGCCUGACACACUGUAGGCACCUCGUAAGUGCUUGUUGAGGGAGUGAUGGCUAUUCAGAAGCUUUUUGAUGCAUACAGAGAUUGUAAACAGGUGAAAAAAGGUACAUGGUGAGGGCCUAGAGCAGACGUCCUGCAGUGGGGUGGAGUCUUGAGGAUUCAUUUUCCCCAAAGGUGACAGAAGCUAAUAAAGGAAAUAUGUCCAACAAAAGGUUAGGCCUGGUCUUGGAGGAGAGUUGCAUUCCCAGUGACAGAGGGGAGCUUGAGCUGGCAGUGGCUUGGGGGGGGGGGCAGUGAAAAGAGGUCAUGCCACACCCAGGAGUCUGGCAGAGGGUAAGAAGGUGGGGCUGGCAUUCAGCUCCCUCGCAACUAGCCAAGAGGCCAAGCUGGGGAGGCCACAUUUUGAUACUUUGUCUUUUUAGGGCUGCACCCCGGGCACAUGGAAGUUCCCAGGCUAGGGGUGGAAUAGGAGCUGUCGCUGCUGGCCUACACCACAGCCACAGCAACACGGGAUCCGCGCGUGUCGGCAGCCUAUACCACAGCUCACGGCAAUGCUGGAUCCUUAACCCCUGAGCAAGGCCAGGGAUCGAACCUGAGUCCUCAUGGAUACUGCUGAGCCACAACGGGAACUCCACAUUUUGAUAUUUUAAUGCUGAUGUUGUAAAGAAACCCUUGCCCUUUUCCCUGGAAGUGUCACCACUAGAAACAGCGUGGGGCCACAGACUCUUCUGGGCUAACAACCAUUCCACCUGUCUCUCUCUGUGGUUGAGGGAUGGAAGACGACUGAAUGGGUGGUGAAAGAUUUUCCAUAUUGAGGUCCACAAACACCCCUCUCUCUCAUCCUCCAUGAUGUAUGAGCGUUAAAAGCAUCACCUGAGGAAGAUUUUGGGAUCUCGUGAGAGUUCUUGAAAAGGAGCACAGAUUGUCAUCUUUUCUGAGAUGGUUUCAGUGAGGCUAAGCUUCCAUGAAAAGGUUAGACCGACGGCUUCCUAGCUCGUACAACCCUAUUCUAUCAUCUGACUCUAGGAUUUCAAAUUUACGUGUGUCGAAUAUUCAUAUGUGCAAUCAGCUUUGUAAUCUCCACACAGUAUGUGUAUUGAUUGGCUUCGUGACCCAUUCGCAAUCACUUUGGACUUCACAUUCUUAUGAAGAUAAUCACAGCCUCUGCUUCACUAAUCCCUUUGUUGAAAUUAUUGCUCUUGGUGUUUAUUCCUACACGAGCGUUAAUGCCAGGAUGCUUUUUUCAUGCAAAGCAGUGUUUCCUGUCUAUCCUUUUCUCUGAUUGCAUAUCAGGAAAAAAGAAGGCAAAUAAGACCUUGAUAUUAGUCUAAAGGGGAAGGUGCUAAUGAGAGGCACGUGCUGCAGUGGAAGGAAGACAGACUAGGUAGAUGUCAUUCAUUUACCAAAUUGACAUACGGACAUUUAUUGACCGUAACUGUUAUAGUCCUAGGUUAGGUGAUCUGGGUUCAAAUCCUAGCUCAGUCACUUCCUCGCUCUGUGACCUGGGUGACUAACUAUCUGGUUUGCCCAGGACUGUUGUUUUAGCGCUGAAAGCCCUGCAUGCCAGGAAACCUCUUAAUCCUGGGCAUUUUGGGACAGUUGACCACCUUAAAUCACUCGUACUUAUAUGUGACAUAGGGAAGUUGAUUGUUUUUUAUAUCAUGACUUUGGGGUCAGGAUCAAAUGAGAUACGGUGAAAGAUCUCUGAGUUGUUAACUGCCACAGAAAUGUAAAGUACUCUUUGCUUUUUUUCACCCCAGUUUCAUGGAACCAGGGGCUUGGAUCUAGAACUAGCUUUUCACACUGGGGUGAGACAGGUACUGAGGGGUAGGGGAACCCCGGACUUCUCAGCUACUGGGGUACUUUCCAUCUGACUGCAAAGUUUGGUGCCCAAGGCGGGGGGGCUGACAAUACCACAUCAGACAAACUGCAAGAGGUCCAAACAAAGUGGCCAUGGGCUCUGGUUGUUCUCAAGUGCAUCCGUUUGCAAGCUGGUGUCAGGGCCACAGCAGGGGGGCAAGGAGUUUGGGGAUCUAUGGGAAGGGAAGGGCCAGAGUGGCCCCAUUGGCCUCGUAGAGGGACCUGGGGUAUCGGGUAGGUACCUUGAACAUGAACAGGACCAAACAGGCACCAAAGCAGAGCCCUGUUCCCAGACCAAGACCCAACACUGGGGGCAGAUCGUCAGCCAGGAUGAGUCAUAGGCUGGGCCACCGAAUAUGGGCCUGAGGCGGAAGUGUGAAGAGUCUGGGAAAGGCAUUUGGGGGAGAAAAGUGGAAUUUCCCACUCUGCUGGGGUCACAGUUCUGCGUGAUUUUACUGUCUUUUUGCAGAAUUUUCUAACCCUGAGUAGCUAGCAUCUGCAUACUCCCACCUCUAUCUUUAUUCAUACGAUUUUUUUUUACAGUCUUCUCAUCACCUUUGUGCUUAUUUUUUAUGAAAAUCAACACUUUUUCUUCUUCUUAGAGCUGCACCUGCAGCAUAUGGAAGUUCCCAGGCUAGGGGGCGAAUUGGAGCUGCAGCUGCAAGCCUAUGCCACAGCCACAGCAAUGCCAGAUCCCUGAGCCAAAUCUGCAACCUACACCACAGCUCAAGGAAACUCCGGAUCCUUCACCCACUGACGGAGGCCAGGGAUCCAACAGGCAUCCUCACGGAUGCUAGUUGGAUUAUUUCCUCCACUUUAUUGAAGGGAAAUGAGUUUCAGAGAACUUAGCUGAAUAACGUAUGUUUAUACCGUAAAUCAGGAAGUUGGCAUUUGAGCUCAGUUCUGCUUUACCUAAAGCCCUGGUCAAUUCCACUCUAGGAUCUGGCAUCUCAAUUCGGGCCCUUCAAGAUUUGAUUCAUGUAUCACUUGUUCAGCGUGUCAUCCUUCCUGCACCCUGGGUUACUGGUUCUUCUCAGAAGCAUAUCUUUAACCCACCAUGACUAUAAAGCAUCUGUCUGAUCCAAAUCUCCACCUGUUUAGAAUGUACUUUGAGUCAGUGCCACUCACAGCGCUGGUCUGCGAGCUGUUGGUUAUGAGUCCACAAAGAUAAAGCACUUGGGCCAGAAUGUAAAUCCACCACCUGACACUUUAAACAUUUUUUCCUACAGCAAGACAUUCUCGAUGAAGAAUUGUCUUGGGUGUACUUUCUGGCAUAAGUUCCUUAUCUCAUAGCGGAGCAGUAAGAACAGCGGCAAGAUGAACACGGAUCCAGAAAUGGGCCCUGCGCCAAGGACAACACUCUGAGUAAUGCUGCUUGAGCUAACAUCGCGUCUCCUUCUUCCUGGCUGCUGUCAACUUUGGAUGAUGGCAACAGCCUCAGAUGGUCUUCCCCACUGCCCUUGGUUUCCAAAUCUAUUUGUGAUGCUUGCCUACUUAAAACCCCUUGGUGGCUCCCGAGAAAGUCCACACUCCAAUCCAAAGGCUCUGCUUUCUCUCUCUCUCCCUUGCCCCCUGGGCUCCAGCUUUCCUGCGGGGCAUGGGGCAGUUCCCCAGACGGGCCAUGUGCUCACCU
Molecule: long non-coding RNA, 6035 nt
Filed under: Sus scrofa (pig)
Lineage: Eukaryota; Metazoa; Chordata; Mammalia; Artiodactyla; Suidae
Description: lncRNA (ENSSSCG00015016855.1)
Source: RNAcentral